RNAcentral lists this ribosomal RNA (331 nucleotides) under uncultured bacterium. RNAcentral's name for it is "bacterial SSU rRNA". It matches the Rfam family "Bacterial small subunit ribosomal RNA", at positions 8 to 334 of the family's 1533-position model. The record is from RNAcentral.
AGGGUUUGAUCAUGGCUCAGGAUGAACGCUAGCGACAGGCUUAACACAUGCAAGUCGAGGGGCAUCGCGGCGGUAGCAAUACCGCCGGCGGCGACCGGCGCACGGGUGAGUAACGCGUAUGCAACCUGCCCCUUGCAGGGGAAUAACCGGGAGAAAUUCCGACUAAUACCGCAUACGUCACGUGGAGGCAUCUCCGGGUGAUGAAAGAAAUUCGGCAAGGGAUGGGCAUGCGUGAUAUUAGGUAGUUGGUGGGGUAACGGCCCACCAAGCCGACGAUAUCUAGGGGUUCUGAGAGGAAGGUCCCCCACAUUGGUACUGAGACACGGACCAA